This 440-nucleotide ribosomal RNA is filed under the name uncultured bacterium. Its description in RNAcentral is "bacterial SSU rRNA". It matches the Rfam family "Bacterial small subunit ribosomal RNA", at positions 355 to 787 of the family's 1533-position model. The record is from RNAcentral.
UAGGGAAUCUUCGGCAAUGGGGGCAACCCUGACCGAGCAACGCCGCGUGAGUGAAGAAGGUUUUCGGAUCGUAAAGCUCUGUUGUAAGAGAAGAACGGGUAUGAGAGUGGAAAGCUCAUACUGUGACGGUAUCUUACCAGAAAGGGACGGCUAACUACGUGCCAGCAGCCGCGGUAAUACGUAGGUCCCGAGCGUUAUCCGGAUUUAUUGGGCGUAAAGCGAGCGCAGGCGGUUAGAUAAGUCUGAAGUUAAAGGCUGUGGCUUAACCAUAGUAUGCUUUGGAAACUGUUUAACUUGAGUGCAGAAGGGGAGAGUGGAAUUCCAUGUGUAGCGGUGGAAUGCGUAGAUAUAUGGAGGAACACCGGUGGCGAAAGCGGCUCUCUGGUCUGUAACUGACGCUGAGGCUCGAAAGCGUGGGUAGCGAACAGGAUUAGAUACCC